GAGGGGACAGCUCAGUGGUAAAGUGUGUGCCUGGCAUGCACGAGGUUCUGGGUUCAAUCUCCGGUAUCUUCA
Molecule: transfer RNA, 72 nt
Filed under: Camelus ferus (Wild Bactrian camel)
Lineage: Eukaryota; Metazoa; Chordata; Mammalia; Artiodactyla; Camelidae
Rfam family: tRNA
About the family: Transfer RNA (tRNA) molecules are approximately 80 nucleotides in length. Their secondary structure includes four short double-helical elements and three loops (D, anti-codon, and T loops).
Source: Rfam by way of RNAcentral